This 310-nucleotide ribosomal RNA is filed under the name uncultured bacterium. Its description in RNAcentral is "partial 16S ribosomal RNA". It matches the Rfam family "Bacterial small subunit ribosomal RNA", at positions 1 to 334 of the family's 1533-position model. The record is from RNAcentral.
CGCGAGUAUUCUAGAGUUUGAUCCUGGCUCAGAACGAACGACUGCGGCAUGCCUAAUACAUGCAAGUCGAACGAUCACUUCGGUGAUAGUGGCGCACGGGUGCGUAACGCGUGGGAAUCUGCCCUUGGGUUCGGAAUAACAUCUGGAAACGGAUGCUAAUACCGGAUGAUGACGUAAGUCCAAAGAUUUAUCGCCCAGGGAUGAGCCCGCGUAGGAUUAGCUAGUUGGUGGGGUAAAGGCCUACCAAGGCGACGAUCCUUAGCUGGUCUGAGAGGAUGAUCAGCCACACUGGGACUGAGACACGGCCCAG